GAUGUUGAGUUAAAUAUAAGUAUCGAUGAUAAUAUAGAAUAUAUGAUUAAGUAAUUAAAGGGAUUUUCAGGGAUGCCUAGCAAUAAUAAUAAAAAGGAAUACCAUAUGAUAGUAUAUCGAAUAAGUAAAUGAUAUACAUUCCUAAGGAAAACCAAUAAACGAAAUACGUUGGUAAGUAAAACAUUUUAGUACCAAUAGGAAAGGAAAUCAACCGAGACUCUGGAAGUAAUGGUGAGUGAAACCAGAUUUAGCCAAUUUUCUUUGGGAUACUCGAAUAUUUUGGAAUAAAUACAAGGAGUAUGUAAAUGUAUAUUUGUGUAUCUCUACCAUAGAAAGUGAAAGUCUUUUCUAAGUAUAUCCAGAAAAAAGAAGAAAGUAAAAUGAGGACGUCUGCCUUGUUUAAACAUUCGCUAUAUGGAUUAAUUCAUAUAGUAGGGGGUACCAUCCUCCAAGGCUAAGUAUAUUAUUAUUAGCGAUAGUGAAGAGUAGCGUAAGCGAAAGGUGAAAAGAAAGUAAUAGACUAGUGAAAAGACCUGAACUGGGAUUCCUAUAAGCAGUUGGAGUUCAUUGAAUGACAACGUACCUUUUGCAUAAUGGGUCAGCGAGUUACUUGAUAAAGCAAGGUGAGUAACCUUUUCGAGAGAGAAUCUAAUUUAUAAUUAGGACAGUUUUAUCAAGUAGACCCGAAGCUAAGUGAUCUUACCAUGAUCAGGCAAUAAGUGGCCGAACCUAUGAAUGUUGCAGAAUUCUGGGAUGAAUUGUGGUAAGGGGUGAAAGGCCAAUCUAACUUAGAUGAUAGCUGGUAUUCUACGAAACCUAUUUAAGUAGGGUAUACAAUAAAAAUAUUCUAUGUACAGCACUGAACAUCACGUUAUUUUAUAUUUACUAUAAAAGACUAUUUUAGGGGGGCCUACCGCUCUACCUUUGAUGAUUAACCUCGCAAGGAGAAUAGUUGUUGUUUUAUGCACAGUCUAUUCAUGAUAAGGUGGAUAGACAAAAGGGAAACAGCCCAGAACAUAAAUUAAGGUCCCAAAAUACUAUUUAGUGAAAAUAAGAAAGUUUUUCUCCUAAUACAGCCAUGAAGUAUGCAUGGAAGUUGCAAUCUUUUAGGGAAAGUGUAAUAACUCAAUGGUCUUAAUUGUUGCGAAAGUAAACAAUUAGGGAGAAAAGCGUCGACAAUUUACCGGGUCUAAAAUAGUAUACCUACAUUAUGUCUUUUUCUGAUCAAUACAGAAAUUGGGUAGUAGAACACUCUAUAUUCAUGUGAAGAUUGUAUUGCGUACAAUUGGAUGAUAUAGAAGAGAGAAUGCUGACAUGAGUAACGUAAAAGGGGUUAUAACACUCCUCGCCGAAAACGAAAGGGUUCUAUGGAAAAGUUAAUCUGCCAUAGCUUAUGCGAUCUCUAAGGAAAAUGCGAAUGCAGUAUCUGAUGAGUAUAAAAGAAAUGAAUUACUUGCAAAAGUACAGGAAAAGUCUUCUUUAUUAAAUUAAUUUUAUAAAAUAAAAUUGAGAUUUAAUGAAUCGUACCCUAAACCGACUUUGGUUCGUAGGUAGAGAAUACUAAGGCGUAGAGAUAAUGCUUGUGAAGGAACUCGGCAAACUAUAUCCGUAAGUUCGACGAUAAGGAUAACCGAAGUUUUUCUUAGGAAAAAUGGAGUGACACAAAAUCGGGGGCUGCGACUGUUUACCAAAAACACAGCAACUUGCUAAGACCAAAAGUACUUGUAUAAGUUGUGAACUCUGUCCAAUGCCACGUCCUGUAAAGAGACAGAUUUUCUUUAACCAGAAAAGUUUGAAUCUGAAAGGUGGUCAAUGACGGUCUUAACUAUAAGGAUCUGAAAGUAGCAAAAUUCCUUGGCUAUUAAAUGUAGUCCUGCAUGAAUGAGGUAACGUGGUCCUCCUGUCUCCACAAGCAUCUCAGUGAAAUUGAAUUAGCCGUGCAGAUGCGGUUUAUCUUCAGUUAGACGGGAAGACCCCGUGCAGCUUUACUGUAAUCUGAUAUUGAUUUUGUACAUUUAGAGGUGUAGAAUACAAGGGAGAGUUUAUCGUCCAUGAAAUACCUUGACUCUAAAAGUAUAUUAUCGAUAGAACUUUUUAUCAUUAAAAGGACAGUGUCAGAGGGUCAGUUUGACUGGGGCGGUCGCCUCUAAUAAAAUAUCAGAGGUCUUCUAAGGUAUAUCAUACAUUAGUCAGAAACUAAUCGACCAUGAACGGUUGUCCAAAGUGGAAUAACAUAAAUAUGCCUGACUGCAAGACUGACAAGUCAAGCAGAUACGCAAGUAGGAUAUACUGAUCCGGUAGCAAUUUAUUUUAACAUAAUAAAAAUAAUCAUUAUGGAAUGGCUAUCGCUCAAGGGAUAAAAGCUACGCCGGGGAUAACAGGUUUAUCGUUUGCGAGAGUUCAUAUUGUCCAAACGGUUUGACACCUCGAUGUCGACUCAUCUCAUCCUCCGGGUGUAGAAGCUCGGAAGGGUUCAGCUGUUCGCUGAUUAAAGAGGUACGCGAGUUGGGUUCAAUACGACGUAAGUCAGUAUGGUUCCUAUCUUCUGAAGACACAAAUUGUUGAAAGAGACUCUCUUACUAGUACGAAAGGACCAUAAGGGAUGAUUCAAUAAUGUACCUAUUGUUAGAUUUAGUACAAAAUACUAAAAUAUAGCACAGUAGGGUAGUUACAAUCAUUAUAGAUAAGUGCUGAAAGCAUAUUAAGCACGAAUCCUCUCUCCGGAAACAAACAGAAAUAAGAAAUAGACUAUUUCUUUAUAAUCCACUAAUUUACAAAAUUAGAAAUAGGACGUAUAUGUACGUAUAGCAAUAUAUUUAGUAUAACGUUACUAAU
RNAcentral lists this ribosomal RNA (2835 nucleotides) under Meira sp. (in: smut fungi & allies). Its description in RNAcentral is "Meira sp. large subunit ribosomal RNA". It matches the Rfam family "Bacterial large subunit ribosomal RNA". Lineage: Eukaryota; Fungi; Basidiomycota; Exobasidiomycetes; Exobasidiales; Brachybasidiaceae. The record is from RNAcentral.